Molecule: ribosomal RNA, 434 nt
Filed under: uncultured Ruminococcus sp.
Lineage: Bacteria; Bacillati; Bacillota; Clostridia; Eubacteriales; Oscillospiraceae
Description: partial 16S ribosomal RNA
Rfam family: Bacterial small subunit ribosomal RNA
Source: RNAcentral
ACGGGAGGCAGCAGUGGGGGAUAUUGCACAAUGGGGGAAACCCUGAUGCAGCGACGCCGCGUGAGUGAUGAAGUAUUUCGGUAUGUAAAGCUCUAUCAGCAGGGAAGAAAAUGACGGUACCUGACUAAGAAGCACCGGCUAAAUACGUGCCAGCAGCCGCGGUAAUACGUAUGGUGCAAGCGUUAUCCGGAUUUACUGGGUGUAAAGGGAGCGUAGACGGAAUGGCAAGUCUGAAGUGAAAUUAUGGGGCUCAACCCCGUAACUGCUUUGGAAACUGCUGAUCUUGAGUACCGGAGGGGCAGGCGGAAUUCCUGGUGUAGCGGUGAAAUGCGUAGAUAUCAGGAAGAACACCGGUGGCGAAGGCGGCCUGCUGGACGGUAACUGACGUUGAGGCUCGAAAGCGUGGGGAGCAAACAGGAUUAGAUACCCUGGUA